This 33-nucleotide ribosomal RNA is filed under the name Condylostoma sp. SUAS-2014. Its description in RNAcentral is "partial 28S ribosomal RNA". The record is from RNAcentral. Lineage: Eukaryota; Ciliophora; Heterotrichea; Heterotrichida; Condylostomatidae.
GUGCCUGAACUUAAGCAAGGCUACCCGCUGAAC